GUUACGACGUUAAAUAAGCAAACCCGGUGAAGUUUACGACGCACAGGAACGCAAAGUUAACAUGGCACCCAGGAAAGCUGUGAAUGCUCGCAUUGAUGAUCGACCUCCUCCUCCCCCACUACCAAAAACUGCUGAAGAGCUGAACGCUCUACUGGAAGAGAGAAUCUCUGCUGCUAUCGCCCAGUACGAGGCGAACCGUACCCAAGACAGUGGAGGGCCAAGCAGUGCCAGGCGUAACGGACAUGGAGAUUCGUCCGGUGGAAACGCAGUUCAAGGCUGCACCUUCAAGCAGUUCCUCGACUGCAAACCAAUGAACUACGAUGGCACUGGAGGAGCAGUA
Long non-coding RNA from Helianthus annuus (common sunflower), 340 nucleotides. RefSeq lists it as uncharacterized. Lineage: Eukaryota; Viridiplantae; Streptophyta; Magnoliopsida; Asterales; Asteraceae. The transcript is spliced from 3 exons. The record is from RefSeq and is a predicted model, not a curated record.